UCUUCCCUCUUUCUUCGUGCCUAAUACAUGCAAGUCGAGCGAACGGACGAGAAGCUUGCUUUUCUGAUGUUAGCGGCGGACGGGUGAGUAACACGUGGAUAACCUACCUAUAAGACUGGGAUAACUUCGGGAAACCGGAGCUAAUACCGGAUAAUAUUUUGAACCGCAUGGUUCAAAAGUGAAAGACGGUCUUGCUGUCACUUAUAGAUGGAUCCGCGCUGCAUUAGCUAGUUGGUAAGGUAACGGCUUACCAAGGCAACGAUGCAUAGCCGACCUGAGAGGGUGAUCGGCCACACUGGAACUGAGACACGGUCCAGACUCCUACGGGAGGCAGCAGUAGGGAAGCUUCCGCAAUGGGCGAAAGCCUGACGGAGCAACGCCGCGUGAGUGAUGAAGGUCUUCGGAUCGUAAAACUCUGUUAUUAGGGAAGAACAUAUGUGUAAGUAACUGUGCACAUCUUGACGGUACCUAAUCAGAAAGCCACGGCUAACUACGUG
RNAcentral lists this ribosomal RNA (497 nucleotides) under uncultured bacterium. Its description in RNAcentral is "partial 16S ribosomal RNA". It matches the Rfam family "Bacterial small subunit ribosomal RNA", at positions 36 to 507 of the family's 1533-position model. The record is from RNAcentral.